UAUUAACACCUAUUUAGCACACAUGUUUUAACUUGCUGUAGCUAAGUUAGAGGAGGUUGACUAACACAGCACUUCAACACGUGUUUUUUCUCCACUUGACAAGCCAACCGGACGUGAUAUUAGGGCGUGGCAGUAUCGAAGAUUACAUUUUUUUUAUUCAAUAUUCAAGAUUGUGACUUAAUUUCGAUUGAUUUUGUCAUUAUUUUUUUUUUAAUCUGUUGUGAUUGUUUAUUUAAGAUUUUUUUUACACUUCUGUUUUGCAUGGAUUAAAGACAGGAGAAAUAACAUGUUAGUUAAUAAACUUUAAAAAUGCUGGUAGGGGGUAUUGUUUACCUCUGGACAGCCAGGUUAGCUUUUUCUAGUCUUUGUGCUAAGCUAAGCUAACUGACUGCUGACUCUAGCUACAUAGUUAGCAUACAGGCAUGGAAUCUUCUCAUUGAAAGGUCAGUAUAACAUUAUUAAGCCUUUUUGUCAAAAGAUCAACAUAUUUCUUAAAACUGUAGUUCCCAACCUGUGGUUCUCAGGGUUAAUCUGAGGGUUCACCAGAUGAUAAAAGGGAUAAAUUAAAUCAAUCUGUUAGUGAAAAUGUUUUUUCUCUUCUAAGUUUAGCCUAUUUUCUUGAGAAAUACUGGAUACCAUCUUUUUCUGGCCUCUAAGAAUCAUUUAAGUUAGAUACAUCAGAAAAAGUAAGUCCAUAACCUGUGAUGAGGGGUCAGAAAUAGAUGUUGAUUUUUUUUAAGAGGUUGCAAGA
Molecule: long non-coding RNA, 751 nt
Organism: Etheostoma cragini (Arkansas darter)
Lineage: Eukaryota; Metazoa; Chordata; Actinopteri; Perciformes; Percidae
Exons: 2
Source: RefSeq, a predicted model, not a curated record